This is a long non-coding RNA of Centruroides sculpturatus (bark scorpion), 139 nucleotides long. RefSeq lists it as uncharacterized. The transcript is spliced from 2 exons. The record is from RefSeq and is a predicted model, not a curated record. NCBI's taxonomy places the organism in Eukaryota, Metazoa, Arthropoda, Arachnida, Scorpiones, Buthidae.
GAAUCCAACGAAAAAUAGGGGACGUCGAAUAUUACGUAGUUGCAAAGAGAAUAUACGGCAAAUGGAAAGAAUUGGCACGUUUUCUGCCGCCAAGAAAUGUAUUUACGGAAGGAGAAUUAACAAUACUGCAAAGUGAUAA